Small nuclear RNA from Cebus imitator (Panamanian white-faced capuchin), 108 nucleotides. The record is from Ensembl. Lineage: Eukaryota; Metazoa; Chordata; Mammalia; Primates; Cebidae.
GUGCUCGCUUCGGCAGCACAUACACUAAAAUUGGAACAAUACAGAGAAGAUUAUCAUGGCCCCGUGCGGAAGGAUGACACGCAAAUUCGUGAAGGGUUGCAUAUUUUU